RNAcentral lists this ribosomal RNA (586 nucleotides) under uncultured bacterium. RNAcentral's name for it is "partial 16S ribosomal RNA". It matches the Rfam family "Bacterial small subunit ribosomal RNA", at positions 357 to 1375 of the family's 1533-position model. The record is from RNAcentral.
UGGGAAUUUGGACAAUGGGCGAAAGCCUGAUCCAGCAAUGCCGCGUGUGUGAAGAAGGCCUUCGGGUUGUAAAGCACUUUUGUCCGGAAAGAAAUCCUUGGCUCUAAUACAGUCGGGGGAUGACGGUACCGGAAGAAUAAGCACCGGCUAACUACGUGCCAGCAGCCGCGGUAAUACGUAGGGUGCAAGCGUUAAUCGGAAUUACUGGGCGUAAAGCGUGCGCAGGCGGUUUGCUAAGACCGAUGUGAAAAUCCCCGGGCUCAACCUGGGAACUGCAUUGGUGACUGGCAGGCUAGAGUAUGGCAGAGGGGGGUAGAAUUCCACGUGUAGCAGUGAAAUGCGUAGAGAUGUGGAGGAAUACCGAUGGCGAAGGCAGCCCCCUGGGCAAUACUGACGCUCAUGCACGAAAAGCGUGGGGAGCAAAACAGGAUUAGAUACCCUGGUAGUCCACGCCCUAAAACGAUGUCAACUAGUUGUUGGGGAUUCAUUUCCUUAGUAACGUAGCUAACGCGUGAAGUUGACCGCCUGGGGAGUACGGUCGCAAGAUUAAAACUCAAAGGAAUUGACGGGGUCAUAGCUGUUUCCU